Molecule: ribosomal RNA, 428 nt
Filed under: uncultured Bacillus sp.
Lineage: Bacteria; Bacillati; Bacillota; Bacilli; Caryophanales; Bacillaceae
Description: bacterial SSU rRNA
Rfam family: Bacterial small subunit ribosomal RNA
Source: RNAcentral
UUACAUGCAGUCGAGCGGACAGAUGAGGAGCUUGCUCCUCUGAUGUUAGCGGCGGAUGAGUACACGUGGGCACCUACCUGUAAGACGGGGAUACUCCGGGAAACCGGAGCUAAUACCGGAUAAUAAAGAGAAACGCCUGUUUCUUUUUUGAAAGUCGGUUUCGGCUGACACUUACAGAUGGGCCCGCGGCGCAUUAGCUAGUUGGUGAGGUAACGGCUCACCAAGGCGACGAUGCGUAGCCGACCUGAGAGGGUGAUCGGCCACACUGGGACUGAGACACGGCCCAGACUCCUACGGGAGGCAGCAGUAGGGAAUCUUCGGCAAUGGACGAAAGUCUGACCGAGCAACGCCGCGUGAGCGAUGAAGGCCUUCGGGUCGUAAAGCUCUGUUGUCAGGCAAGAACAAGUACCGGAGUAACUGCCGGUACC